UUUGUUUCGUUUUUCUCCUGUUUUUUUCUUCUCCUUUUGAUUCUUUAAAAGUUGGGAUAUAUGCUAUGAAGAUAACGCCUGGAAAGGAAAUUCGAUUGCGCGAUUUGUUUCAUAACUAAUCCGCGAAAUGAAUCCUUGAUAUAUUCUGUAAUUUGCUAGUGU
Molecule: long non-coding RNA, 162 nt
Organism: Hibiscus syriacus
Lineage: Eukaryota; Viridiplantae; Streptophyta; Magnoliopsida; Malvales; Malvaceae
Exons: 3
Source: RefSeq, a predicted model, not a curated record